Molecule: ribosomal RNA, 492 nt
Filed under: uncultured bacterium
Lineage: Bacteria
Description: partial 16S ribosomal RNA
Rfam family: Bacterial small subunit ribosomal RNA
Source: RNAcentral
AGUGAACGCUGGCGGUAGGCCUAACACAUGCAAGUCGAACGGCAGCACAGUAAGAGCUUGCUCUUACGGGUGGCGAGUGGCGGACGGGUGAGGAAUACAUCGGAAUCUACUUUUUCGUGGGGGAUAACGUAGGGAAACUUACGCUAAUACCGCAUACGACCUACGGGUGAAAGCAGGGGAUCUUCGGACCUUGCGCGAUUGAAUGAGCCGAUGUCGGAUUAGCUAGUUGGCGGGGUAAAGGCCCACCAAGGCGACGAUCCGUAGCUGGUCUGAGAGGAUGGUCAGCCACACUGGAACUGAGACACGGUCCAGACUCCUACGGGAGGCAGCAGUGGGGAAUAUUGGACAAUGGGCGCAAGCCUGAUCCAGCCAUACCGCGUGGGUGAAGAAGGCCUUCGGGUUGUAAAGCCCUUUUGUUGGGAAAGAAAAGCAGCAGGUUAAUACCCCGCUGUUCUGACGGUACCCAAAGAAUAAGCGCCGGCUAACUUCGUG